RNAcentral lists this ribosomal RNA (301 nucleotides) under uncultured bacterium. RNAcentral describes it as "partial 16S ribosomal RNA". It matches the Rfam family "Bacterial small subunit ribosomal RNA", at positions 509 to 807 of the family's 1533-position model. The record is from RNAcentral.
CAGCCGCCACGGGAAUACGUAGGUGGCAAGCGUUGUCCGGAAUUAUUGGGCGUAAAGGGCUCGCAGGCGGUUUCUUAAGUCUGAUGUGAAAGCCCCCGGCUCAACCGGGGAGGGUCAUUGGAAACUGGGAAACUUGAGUGCAGAAGAGGAGAGUGGAAUUCCACGUGUAGCGGUGAAAUGCGUAGAGAUGUGGAGGAACACCAGUGGCGAAGGCGCCUCUCUGGUCCGUAACUGACGCUGAGGAGCGAAAGCGUGGGGAGCGAACAGGAUUAGAGACCCCCGUAGUCCCUGUCUCUUAUAC